RNAcentral lists this ribosomal RNA (1346 nucleotides) under uncultured bacterium. RNAcentral's name for it is "bacterial SSU rRNA". It matches the Rfam family "Bacterial small subunit ribosomal RNA", at positions 28 to 1381 of the family's 1533-position model. The record is from RNAcentral.
GACGAACGCUGGCGGCGUGCUUAACACAUGCUUUUCGAACGGAAAGGCCCUGCUUUUGUGGGGUGCUCGAGUGGCGAACGGGUGAGUAACACGUGAGUAACCUGCCCUUGACUUUGGGAUAACUUCAGGAAACUGGGGCUAAUACCGGAUAGGAGCUCCUGCUGCAUGGUGGGGGUUGGAAAGUUUCGGCGGUUGGGGAUGGACUCGCGGCUUAUCAGCUUGUUGGUGGGGUAGUGGCUUACCAAGGCUUUGACGGGUAGCCGGCCUGAGAGGGUGACCGGCCACAUUGGGACUGAGAUACGGCCCAGACUCCUACGGGAGGCAGCAGUGGGGAAUAUUGCACAAUGGGCGGAAGCCUGAUGCAGCAACGCCGCGUGCGGGAUGACGGCCUUCGGGUUGUAAACCGCUUUCGCCUGUGACGAAGCGUGAGUGACGGUAAUGGGUAAAGAAGCACCGGCUAACUACGUGCCAGCAGCCGCGGUGAUACGUAGGGUGCGAGCGUUGUCCGGAUUUAUUGGGCGUAAAGGGCUCGUAGGUGGUUGAUCGCGUCGGAAGUGUAAUCUUGGGGCUUAACCCUGAGCGUGCUUUCGAUACGGGUUGACUUGAGGAAGGUAGGGGAGAAUGGAAUUCCUGGUGGAGCGGUGGAAUGCGCAGAUAUCAGGAGGAACACCAGUGGCGAAGGCGGUUCUCUGGGCCUUUCCUGACGCUGAGGAGCGAAAGCGUGGGGAGCGAACAGGCUUAGAUACCCUGGUAGUCCACGCUGUAAACGGUGGGUACUAGGUGUGGGGUCCAUUCCACGGGUUCCGUGCCGUAGCUAACGCUUUAAGUACCCCGCCUGGGGAGUACGGCCGCAAGGCUAAAACUCAAAGGAAUUGACGGGGCCCCGCACAAGCGGCGGAGCAUGCGGAUUAAUUCGAUGCAACGCGUAGAACCUUACCUGGGUUUGACAUGGAUCGGGAGUGCUCAGAGAUGGGUGUGCCUCUUUUGGGGUCGGUUCACAGGUGGUGCAUGCCUGUCGUCAGCUCGUGUCGUGAGAUGUUGGGUUAAGUCCCGCAACGAGCGCAACCCUUGUUCACUGUUGCCAGCACGUUAUGGUGGGGACUCAGUGGAGACCGCCGGGGUCAACUCGGAGGAAGGUGGGGAUGACGUCAAGUCCUCAUGCCCCUUAUGUCCAGGGCUUCACGCAUGCUACAAUGGCUGGUACAGAGAGUGGCGAGCCUGUGAGGGUGAGCGAAUCUCGGAAAGCCGGUCUCAGUUCGGAUUGGGGUCUGCAACUCGACCUCAUGAAGUCGGAGUCGCUAGUAAUCGCAGAUCAGCAACGCUGCGGUGAAUAAAUUCCCGGGGCU